This 433-nucleotide ribosomal RNA is filed under the name uncultured bacterium. RNAcentral describes it as "partial 16S ribosomal RNA". It matches the Rfam family "Bacterial small subunit ribosomal RNA", at positions 29 to 507 of the family's 1533-position model. The record is from RNAcentral.
AACGAACGCUGGCGGCAUGCCUAACUCAUGCAAGUCGAACGAGACCUUCGGGACUAGUGGCGUACGGGUGCGUAACGCGUGGGAACCUGCCCUUAGGUUCGGAAUAACUCCCCGAAAGGGGUGCUAAUACCGGAUAAUGUCCUCGGACCAAAGAUUUAUCGCCUUUGGAUGGGCCCGCGUUGGAUUAGCUAGUUGGUAGGGUAAAAGCCUACCAAGGCGACGAUCCAUAGCUGGUCUGAGAGGAUGAUCAGCCACACUGGGACUGAGACACGGCCCAGACUCCUACGGGAGGCAGCAGUGGGGAAUAUUGGAAUAUGGGUGAUAGCUUGGUCCAGCAAGGCCGGGUGAGUGAAGGAGGCCUUAGGGUUGUAGAGCUCUGUUUAGCGGGAUGAUAAUGACAGUCCCGGGAGAAUAGUCCACGGCUAGAUCCGUG